Long non-coding RNA from Oncorhynchus tshawytscha (Chinook salmon), 588 nucleotides. The record is from Ensembl. Lineage: Eukaryota; Metazoa; Chordata; Actinopteri; Salmoniformes; Salmonidae.
UAGGGGGUAAUAAAGAGUAAUAGAGAGUAAUAGGGGGUAAUAGGGAGUAAUAGGGGGUAAUAGGGAAGUAAUAGGGGGUAAUAGACAGCAAUAAAGAGUAAUGGGGUAAUAGGGGUAAUAGGGAGUAAUAGGCAGUAAUAGGGGGUAAUAGGGCAGUAAUAGGCAUUAAUAGGGGUAAUAGGGGGUAAUAGGGAGUAAUAAGGGGUAAUAGGGCAGUAAUAGGCAGUAAUAGGGGUAAUAGGGGGGUAAUAGGGCAGUAAUAGGGGUAAUAGGGGUAAUAGGCAGUAAUAGGCAGUAAUAGGGCAGUAAUAGGAAGUAAUAGGGGUAAUAGGGGUAAUGGGCUGUAAUAGGGGUAAUAAGGGGUAAUAGGCAGUAAUAGGGUGUAAUAUGGCAGUAAUAAGGGGUAAUAGGGGUAAUAGGCGGUAAUAGAGAGGAGUAGGCAGUUCUAGGGGGUAAUAGGGAAGGAUAGGCAGUAAUAGGGGUAAUAGGCAGUACUAGGGGGGUAAUAGGGGUAAUAUGCAGUAAUAGGGGGCAAUAAGGGGAAAUAAGCAGUAAUAGGGGGUAAUAGGGGGUAAUAGGGGGUAAUAG